Long non-coding RNA from Carassius gibelio (silver crucian carp), 939 nucleotides. RefSeq lists it as uncharacterized. The record is from RefSeq and is a predicted model, not a curated record. The transcript is spliced from 2 exons. NCBI's taxonomy places the organism in Eukaryota, Metazoa, Chordata, Actinopteri, Cypriniformes, Cyprinidae.
GGAGCACCCCUAUUGGGUGUGGUUACUUUAAUGACAACAAACUCUCAAUGCUAGCUGCUAAUUAGCCGAACGAGUGAAAUUUACGAAUGAAUGAAAUUUACAUAUUGAAAAUUUAUGAAAUUUGCUUCUAAUAACUUUCUAGCAAGUAAGAAAAUUAUCGGAAGUGCCAUGACAACACGUUUAAGGGUCGUAUGCAGUUUGAGAGCAACUGAACGCGAUUUGAUUACGAUUCACAAAACAUUAGUGAAACUUAUUUUGAAGACAGGAAUAAAACAAUUUCCUUACCAGAGUCCGAAAAUCUCGGUCUCCCGAGGUCGCGGAAAUAGUAGGCAUUUCCCACCAGCAUCCUCCUAAUGAAGACUCCUAUAGCGCCUAUCGAGACACUGCUGACCGCCACUUCCAGCUUCUGACGGCAGUCUUCAUACUCGCCCAGCGCAAUCCCAUAAGGAAAGUUGAACUGAACAGUGUCCAGCGGUGUUCAGAUCAAACCCACAAGUUUGCACAUGUGAACGGAUUCAGCUGAGCGCAUAGCCCUCCGUGACACUGGUUGAAUUCACUCGGUUGGGCUGCACCCAAAGAAAACACAAAGUGGUGGUGCUGAAUUGCUUCUUCAUGAAUGAAAAGCUGUUGGCUGGCUCGCAUCACCCUCAGUACAAGCCUUCUGGGAUGCGUUGUCUUCUGCCAAUCUGAAACUGCUCCUCCCUCCCCAGCUUUGCUCUUCUCCACUAGACUUCUAUUACAUGAUCAUUUGACUAUACCAAAUCCCACUUGUGCUCCUCAAAUCCAUAAGAAAUCAAGUUAGAGACAUGGAGAAUAUGAAAAAAUGAGAAAGCAGAAAAAAAAUCUGGCAAAAGGGUUUCAGAGUGUAAAUUUUAUUAAUGCCAGCAGCUGCAAAUAGUCUAUACGAGAAAUACUACAAAUAAAAAGGUUAUGAAUCAA